Molecule: ribosomal RNA, 474 nt
Filed under: uncultured organism
Description: partial 16S ribosomal RNA
Rfam family: Bacterial small subunit ribosomal RNA
Source: RNAcentral
ACCCUGCGGGAGGCAGCAGUGGGGAAUUUUGGACAAUGGGCGAAAGCCUGAUCCAGCCAUGCCGCGUGCAGGAUGAAGGCCUUCGGGUUGUAAACUGCUUUUGUACGGAACGAAACGGCCUUUUCUAAUAAAGAGGGCUAAUGACGGUACCGUAAGAAUAAGCACCGGCUAACUACGUGCCAGCAGCCGCGGUAAUACGUAGGGUGCAAGCGUUAAUCGGAAUUACUGGGCGUAAAGCGUGCGCAGGCGGUUAUGUAAGACAGUUGUGAAAUCCCCGGGCUCAACCUGGGAACUGCAUCUGUGACUGCAUAGCUAGAGUACGGUAGAGGGGGAUGGAAUUCCGCGUGUAGCAGUGAAAUGCGUAGAUAUGCGGAGGAACACCGAUGGCGAAGGCAAUCCCCUGGACCUGUACUGACGCUCAUGCACGAAAGCGUGGGGAGCAAACAGGAUUAGAAACCCUGGUAGUCCCAUGAU